CUUGGUCCAUUUAGAGGAAGUAAAAGUCGUAACAAGGUUUCCGUAGGUGAACCUGCGGAAGGAUCAUUAUUGAAUGAAUUUGGUUGGGCUGUUGCUGGCUUAAUUACAAGCAUGUGCACGCCUCCACCAAUUUUUUUUUCUUUUUAUCACCUGUGCACUUAUCGUAGACUUUUUCCAUUUUGUAAGGGGAGUUGCAAAAAAAAAAUUCUUUUCUUUUUGCUGUCCCUGACCUUUUCAAAAGAAAGAAAAAGUCUAUGCUUUUUCUAUAAACCCCUAUUUGUAUGUCUGUGAUUGUUUUUGGGCUUAAUUUGCCUUUAAUUUAUAUUACAACUUUCAACAACGGAUCUCUUGGCUCUCGCAUCGAUGAAGAACGCAGCGAAAUGCGAUAAGUAAUGUGAAUUGCAGAAUUCAGUGAAUCAUCGAAUCUUUGAACGCACCUUGCGCUCCUUGGUAUUCCGAGGAGCAUGCCUGUUUGAGUGUCAUGAAAUUCUCAAUCUAAUCAACUUUCUUGAGUUGAUUAGACUUGGAUAUUGGGAGUCUGUGCAGGCUUUGAUAUUUUUCAGGUCUGCUCUCCUAAAAUGCAUUAGCGGAAUCUUUUGCAGACCAGCUUUGGUGUGAUAAUUAUUUGAUACGCCGCUGUCUGGAURGCAAAUUAUUGAGGGUUCAGCUUCUAAUUYGUCUCUGGAAGACAAMACUUGACUGAKAAUUUUGACCUCAAAUCAGGUAGGACUACCCGCUGAACUUAAGCAUAUCAAUAAG
Molecule: ribosomal RNA, 759 nt
Filed under: Corneriella sp. DJL-2013
Lineage: Eukaryota; Fungi; Basidiomycota; Agaricomycetes; Agaricales; Tricholomataceae
Description: eukaryotic LSU rRNA
Rfam family: 5.8S ribosomal RNA (bases 329-482)
Source: RNAcentral